This 738-nucleotide ribosomal RNA is filed under the name Elsinoe genipae-americanae. RNAcentral describes it as "eukaryotic LSU rRNA". It matches the Rfam family "Eukaryotic large subunit ribosomal RNA", at positions 133 to 891 of the family's 3401-position model. The record is from RNAcentral. Lineage: Eukaryota; Fungi; Ascomycota; Dothideomycetes; Myriangiales; Elsinoaceae.
GGCGUCCGAGUUGUAAUUUGUAGAGGAUGCUAUUGAGUUGUCACCGGUCUAAGUUCCUUGGAACAGGACGUCACAGAGGGUGAGAAUCCCGUAUGUGACCGGCCAGACGCUCUCUGUAUAGCUCCUUCGACGAGUCGGGUUGUUUGGGAAUGCAGCCCUAAAUGGGAGGUAAAUUUCUUCUAAAGCUAAAUACCGGCCAGAGACCGAUAGCGCACAAGUAGAGUGAUCGAAAGAUGAAAAGCACUUUGGAAAGAGAGUUAAAAAGCACGUGAAAUUGUUGAAAGGGAAGCGCUUGCAAUCAGUCUCGACGGCGGCUGUUCGGCCUCUCUUCUGAGUGGUUUAUUCAGUCGCCGCCGGGCCAGCAUCAGUUCUGGCGGUCGGAUAAAGGCGCAGGGAAUGUAGCUCCUCUCGGGGAGUGUUAUAGCCCUGUGUGCAAUACGGCCCGCCGGGACUGAGGUCCGCGCUCCGGCUAGGAUGCUGGCGAAAUGGUUGUAAGCGGCCCGUCUUGAAACACGGACCAAGGAGUCUAACAUCUAUGCGAGUGUUUGGGUGUCAAACCCGUACGCGUAAUGAAAGUGAACGGAGGUGGGAACCGCAAGGUGCACCAUCGACCGAUCCUGAUGUCUUCGGAUGGAUUUGAGUAAGAGCAUAGCUGUUGGGACCCGAAAGAUGGUGAACUAUGCCUGAAUAGGGUGAAGCCAGAGGAAACUCUGGUGGAGGCUCGCAGCGGUUCUGACG